UUAUGUACAUUUAAACAAAAUGGAGGCUCUUUAGUUUUAUUCGAAUGGCCAUUGGAAUAAAACUAAAGAGCCUCCAUUUUGUUUAAAUGUACAUAG
This is a non-coding RNA of Pelobates cultripes (western spadefoot toad), 96 nucleotides long. The record is from the annotation of a GenBank genome assembly. Lineage: Eukaryota; Metazoa; Chordata; Amphibia; Anura; Pelobatidae.